CCUACGGGCGGCAGCAGUGGGGAAUAUUGCACAAUGGGCGCAAGCCUGAUGCAGCCAUGCCGCGUGUGUGAAGAAGGCCUUCGGGUUGUAAAGCACUUUCAGCGGGGAGGAAGGCGGUGAGGUUAAUAACCUCAUCGAUUGACGUUACCCGCAGAAGAAGCACCGGCUAACUCCGUGCCAGCAGCCGCGGUAAUACGGAGGGUGCAAGCGUUAAUCGGAAUUACUGGGCGUAAAGCGCACGCAGGCGGUCUGUCAAGUCGGAUGUGAAAUCCCCGGGCUCAACCUGGGAACUGCAUUCGAAACUGGCAGGCUAGAGUCUUGUUGAGGGGGGUAGAAUUCCAGGUGUAGCGGUGAAAUGCGUAGAGAUCUGGAGGAAUACCGGUGGCGAAGGCGGCCCCCUGGACAAAGACUGACGCUCAGGUGCGAAAGCGUGGGGAGCAAACAGGAGUAGAUACCCCAGUAGUC
RNAcentral lists this ribosomal RNA (465 nucleotides) under uncultured Klebsiella sp. Its description in RNAcentral is "bacterial SSU rRNA". It matches the Rfam family "Bacterial small subunit ribosomal RNA", at positions 338 to 795 of the family's 1533-position model. Lineage: Bacteria; Pseudomonadati; Pseudomonadota; Gammaproteobacteria; Enterobacterales; Enterobacteriaceae. The record is from RNAcentral.